CGGUGCAGGAAGAAGGCCUUCGGGUUGUAAACUGCUUUUGUCAGGAAAGAAAUCCUCUGGGUUAAUACCUCGGGGGGAUGACGGUACCUGAAGAAUAAGCACCGGCUAACUACGUGCCAGCAGCCGCGGUAAUACGUAGGGUGCGAGCGUUAAUCGGAAUUACUGGGCGUAAAGCGUGCGCAGGCGGUUAUGCAAGACAGAGGUGAAAUCCCCGGGCUCAACCUGGGAACUGCCUUUGUGACUGCAUGGCUAGAGUACGGUAGAGGGGGAUGGAAUUCCGCGUGUAGCAGUGAAAUGCGUAGAUAUGCGGAGGAACACCGAUGGCGAAGGCAAUCCCCUGUACCUGUACUGACGCUCAUGCACGAAAGCGUGGGGAGCAAACAGGAUUAGAUACCCUGGUAGUCCACGCCCUAAACGAUGUCAACUGGUUGUUGGACGGCUUGCUGUUCAGUAACGAAGCUAACGCGUGAAGUUGACCGCCUGGGGAGUACGGCCGCAAGGUUGAAACUCAGAGGAAUUGACGGGGACCCGCACAAGCGGUGGAUGAUGUGGUUUAAUUCGAUGCAACGCGAAGAGACUGUACUAUCCUUGACAUGCUAGGAAUCUUGCAGAGA
RNAcentral lists this ribosomal RNA (614 nucleotides) under uncultured bacterium. RNAcentral's name for it is "bacterial SSU rRNA". It matches the Rfam family "Bacterial small subunit ribosomal RNA", at positions 399 to 1006 of the family's 1533-position model. The record is from RNAcentral.